UGUACUCAGAAGAGCUCAAAUUUGAGAAGUGA
Molecule: non-coding RNA, 32 nt
Filed under: Homo sapiens (human)
Lineage: Eukaryota; Metazoa; Chordata; Mammalia; Primates; Hominidae
Source: RNAcentral